UACGAACUGUGCAAACGUUAUUCGGAAUCACUGGGCUUACAGGGUGCGUAGGCGGUCUGUUAAGUAGGGUGUGAAAGCCCCCGGCUCAACCGGGGAAUUGCGCCCUAAACUGGCGGACUGGAGUGAGAUAGGGGUGUGCGGAACUUCCGGUGGAGCGGUGAAAUGUGUUGAUAUCGGAAGGAACACCGGUGGCGAAAGCGGUGCACUGGGGCUCAACUGACGCUGAGGCACGAAAGCCAGGGUAGCGAACGGG
Molecule: ribosomal RNA, 253 nt
Filed under: uncultured bacterium
Lineage: Bacteria
Description: partial 16S ribosomal RNA
Rfam family: Bacterial small subunit ribosomal RNA
Source: RNAcentral